Molecule: unclassified non-coding RNA, 312 nt
Filed under: uncultured fungus
Lineage: Eukaryota; Fungi
Description: sequence contains ITS2
Rfam family: 5.8S ribosomal RNA (bases 1-52)
Source: RNAcentral
AACGCACCUUGCGCUCCUUGGCAUUCCGAGGAGCAUGCCUGUUUGAGUGUCAUGUUAACUCUCAACCCGGAUUGUGGGACGCUGCCGGGGCUCGUCUUCGGCUCGUCUUUGAACUUCUGGUUGGACUAUGGAUGCUGCGGGAGCCUGCCUUCCGCUCGUCUCAAAUGCAUUAGCGGGGUGUUAGACCCACCGCUGGCGUUUAGUAAUGCUUGCGCCGUGCGAGAGGGUCCUUCCUUGCUCACGAGCGGGACGCUUCGGCGUCGACUCUUGACUUCUGGCCUCAGAUCAGGUAGGAUUACCCGCCGAACUUAA